RNAcentral lists this transfer RNA (66 nucleotides) under Oncomelania hupensis hupensis. RNAcentral describes it as "tRNA-Val". RNAcentral also lists the same sequence under 1 other name. The record is from RNAcentral. Lineage: Eukaryota; Metazoa; Mollusca; Gastropoda; Littorinimorpha; Pomatiopsidae.
UGAAAUAUAGCAUAAUUAAUGCAUUUCACUUACACUGAAAGGAUACUCAAAAUUGAGCUGUUUCAA